Molecule: RNA transcript, 4135 nt
Organism: Durio zibethinus
Lineage: Eukaryota; Viridiplantae; Streptophyta; Magnoliopsida; Malvales; Malvaceae
Gene name: auxin response factor 2B-like
Source: RefSeq, a predicted model, not a curated record
AGACAAACCCACCAUGCAGCCUACUGCCAAGCUAGUGUUCACUGAUCCCAUCCCCAUCAGGCCUCAGCCCCAUCACAAUCAAAAAGAGUAGUACUAGGAGUAGUACUCCGACGAGACCUCCAACCCUACGAUCUUUAGCUUGACCCAUCUCAUAUGAUCAAAGGAUCAUCAUGCUAGAUCAACGGUUGUUCUUUGUUAAUAUAUAAUAUUAAUUGAAUUUUCCUCAAAAUUUCGAAGGGAAAAAGGGGAGGCGGAGAAUGACAUAGAGAUCCAAGCAGGAAAUGUGCAUGAAAGGGCAGAAAUAAAGCGCCUAGGAUAUAUCGGUGCCCAGAGUAGCAAAUAUCGCCAGAGAUCAACAACCCCAACGACAACGAGCCACACUUCACCCCAAAAAAAGAGUACGGGGAGUGAGAGGCAGACACAUACAACACAACAGCUGUGCAUCGUCAAUAUCUCUGAAUAUUCAGACAAAGAAAGAAAGAAAAAAAGAGAGAGAGAGAGAGGGAGAAAGAAUUAGUGUAGAGUUUAAAGGACGAUAUCUUCAAAACGUUCCUGCAUGCACUUUGGGCACACGAUGAAAACAUUUUUGCAUUAAUAACCAUCGUCACAAAAACGGAGAGUGGGGGGGGGGGGUACCUGGUGGUGUGUUUCUGUGAUGACACGGGACCGCCUGAUUCUUGAGAACUCUUUCUGUCAACUUUUGUCAUUUUGUUAAUUAUUUACAAAACUUAAACAUAUAAACACCUUUGUCUUUGCCGUUUCUUUUCCUUUAUUUCUCACUUCUUAUUAGCUGCGUCUUCCUUAUUCCAGGAAAGGGGUUUCUUCUUCUUUUACAUAUAUAUAUAUAUACACACACACACACACAUACACAUAUAAACUCCUUUUGGUUUUAGAAAAGAGAUAAAAAAAAAGAAAGAGAGAUGGAUGGUGAACGGAAUGUUUUGAAGGCUAAGGCUCCUUUUCAGUCCAGAAGACGCAUCGACGUCGAUGGCUUGCGUCCUCCAAACAACCAAGGAGAAAAAGAUGAUCUGUAUAUUAAACUAUGGCAUCUAUGCGCGGGUCCUUCUGUUUAUGUACCACGCGCUGGAGAAAAGGUGUUCUACUUCCCUCAAGGUCACUUGGAACAGAUCGAGGCAUAUAUGAAUGAAGAUGGGACAAUGGAAAUGCCCAUCUACAAUUUACCUUCCAAGAUCCUCUGCAGGGUGGUGCAUGUUCAGCUUAAGGCUGAACCUGGUACAGAUGAGGUCUUUGCACAAAUUGUUCUGCUUCCAGAGGCAGAGCAAGAUGAGCUAAGUGUGGAGCAUAGAAAUUAUCAAGCUUUACCUCGGAAAGCUUAUUCACGGUUUUUUAGUAAGAAACUCACUCCAUCUGAUACAAACGCACAUGGUGGAUUCUGUAUUCCAAAGCGACAUGCUGAUGAUGGGUGUCUUCCACCUCUGGACAUGGCUCAGCAAACCCCACAGCAGGAAUUGGUUGCAAUAGACUUGCAUGGUUUUGAGUGGCACUUUCGGCAUAUUUUUCGUGGUCAGCCAAAAAGGCACUUGCUUACCAGCGGUUGGAGUACAUUUGUGACUUCAAAGAAGCUUGUUUCUGGGGAUGCAUUUAUCUUUCUUAGAGGGGAAAAUGGAGAGCUUCGUGUGGGAGUUCGCCGAGCAAUGACAACACUGAACAAUACAUCAACAUCUGUCAUAUCUGGCCACAGCAUGAGACAUGGCAUACUUGCUAGUGCUCUCCAUGCCUUUUCUACCAGAAGCAUGUUUACUGUCUACUACCGUCCUUGGACAAGUUCUUCUGAAUUUAUCAUCCCACUUGAUCAGUAUAUGAAGUCAGCUCAACUUGACUACUGCAUUGGGACAAGAUUUAGGAUGCAAUUUGAAGGCAAAGAGUGUGGGGAAAAAAGAGCUCUCGGCACCAUCAUCAGCAUUGAAGAUGUUGAUCAUAUUAGGUGGCCCAAUUCUAAAUGGAGAUGUCUGAAGGUGAAAUGGGAUCCCACCUCAGUUGCAGUUUUGCAUCCUGAAAGACUUUGUCCUUGGAACAUUGAUGCAAUGGAAUUCACUAAUAAAAAAAAACCUAUCAUUCUAAAUUGCCCAAAGGCAGCUCGUACUGAUGAUGCAUCAUCUCCUGGCUUUUCUAGCCUGCUUAUGGAUGGCAUGUGGCAUGGUUCAGUUAAAUAUGAAUCUCAAAGUAGCUCGGGGGUUUUGCAAGGUCAAGAAGAUAGUGACACAGAUGCGAAUCGAUCCAGUGCACUAAGACAACCAUUACCACAUUUUCUCCCACUAAAUCCUAGUUGGGCCUCAAUACAACAACAGAUGGAGAACCAACUAGAGAUUCAGAUUCCGGUAUGCAAUUCAUUUUAUCAAUGUACCAGCAGCACAACACUCUUUUCUGGUGGAAAUGUAGCUAGUUUGGGCCUUCAUAAUAAGUGGCCCCCAACAUUCUCCUGUUAUGGAGUUCAUGACAAUGCUCUUGCUAGCAGAAAAGUUAGAGUUCCAAAUGUCAAUUCUAUGGAAUGGAGAACUUUGGAACGAAGGAAUGAAAGUAAAACUCCAUUGUGCCAACCAAAUGGUGGUCACAGUUACAUGCUUUUUGGAGUAAAUUUAGUUCAUGGUCCACCGGAGCUCCCUUCACCACAAGUUGUCACUUCUAGUGAGCUUGGAAGUCUUUGUUCUAUUCCUCCAACAUCUCAGUCAAGUGUUUCUGAACCUUCUAAGGGUAGAUCUAGCACGCAGUGCAAGAACUGCUGCUCUGUCAGCAAUCGGAGUUGCAACAAGGUGCUCAAGUAUGGAACUGCUCUUGGAAGAUCGGUUGAUCUCACUCGAUUUAAUGGAUAUGAAGACCUCAUAUGUGAGAUUGAUCACAUGUUUGAUUUUAAAGGAAGAUUGAUUGAUGGAAGCAGCGACUGGCACGUAACCUUCACCGAUGAUGAAGGGGACAUGAUGCUGAUUGGAGAUUACCCAUGGCAGAAAUUCCAGUACGAGGUCCGAAGGAUGCUCAUCUGCCCAAAGGAAGAAAUCAACAGACUAAAUCCAAGCUCACCAAAUUCAACAUCUCACUAAAAAAGACUUGUGCGGAAGUCUUUUAAAUCAUCAGUGUGGUCUUUUUAAUACAACGGAAGGAGAAUUGCCAACGCACACUCAAUGGUGGAUGAUAUUUGUCAUCGACAAGCUCCUGUCAACUAUCAACUAAACUGAGUAAUAAUCCCGUUUUCCCGUCACCGCUCAAUUUUCCAAUUUCCACCCUUGUGAAACAAUAAUAAGCGCCGAACACAAACAUUUGACAAAUAGAUAUUGUUAACCAAUCAAUGAAAUCAAUGUCUCUCCUCUGGAUCUGCAGCGGCGACUAUCUCAAAUUCCUAUUAUUUCGGUCGGUCAUUAACUCGUAAUCCCCCGUCAAUUCCAACCCGUAAGUUUCCUCUCAAAAGAACCCAAUGUUCGAAGUUCGAUCAUUAUUCUAAGAUCUCAGUCUUCUUCGGAGCUUCGAGGGAAUCAACAAGGACAAGAUCCAGAAACCCUAGUCCAGAACCUGAGAGAGUUGCGGACCACUGGCUACCACCUUCCAACGCCUUGGAGCUGUUUGUGUGAACUGUCCGACGGGGCUAAAAAUCUGAAAUCAUAAGUUCGGAGGUCAAUUAAAAGUAAAGGCUGAAAAUUUCUUGGACAUUUGUGCUUCCACGUCAAUGUUCCAAAAGAGAAAGAACAAGAGAAAUCCUAGGAAGUGAAGUAAAUUUAAUGCCGGGGUUAUUUAUACUUAUAGGAUUGGAACGCCGGGCCUGAGUGGCCCGAAUUCUGAAAGUCGAGUCCAGUUCAAAGCUGACAACGCUGGUCGGAUCUGACCUGGCAAGUGAAGGUCCAACUGAGGCUGACCAUGUUCAGACCAGGACUAGAAUUAUUCCUGGGUGUUACUCUGAAGCUGGUGUUUGAUGGUAUGUUCAAUGAGCCAAUCAAGGGAGGCAGACUGAAGGUGAAAAGAGAACAUUAAUGAGGACAUCAAUUAUGUUGGCUUAUUGCUAUAGAGUAACUAUGUGAACAUAAAAGUGAUCUAAAUACAAAAUUAAGGCUUUGUUUGGUUCACAGAAAGAUUGAGCUGGAAAUCUGAGAAUAAAGAAAUAUGUAAACACUCUCUUAUCAAACUUUUU